This 505-nucleotide ribosomal RNA is filed under the name uncultured bacterium. Its description in RNAcentral is "partial 16S ribosomal RNA". It matches the Rfam family "Bacterial small subunit ribosomal RNA", at positions 28 to 523 of the family's 1533-position model. The record is from RNAcentral.
AUUGAACGCUGGCGGCAUGCCUUACACAUGCAAGUCGAACGGCAGCGCGGGAGCAAUCCUGGCGGCGAGUGGCGAACGGGUGAGUAGUGCAUCGGAACGUGCCCAGUUGUGGGGGAUAGCCCGGCGAAAGCCGGAUUAAUACCGCAUACGACCUGAGGGUGAAAGCGGGGGGCCUGGCAAAGGGCCUCGCGCGAUUGGAGCGGCCGAUGUCAGAUUAGGUUGUUGGUGGGGUAAAGGCCUACCAAGCCUGCGAUCUGUAGCUGGUCCUGAGAGGACGACCAGCCACACUGGGACUGAGACACGGCCCAGACUCCUACGGGAGGCAGCAGUGGGGAAUUUUGGACAAUGGGCGCAAGCCUGAUCCAGCCAUGCCGCGUGCGGGAAGAAGGCCUUCGGGUUGUAAACCGCUUUUGUCGGGGAAGAAACGGCCUGGGAUAAUACCUUGGGCUAAUGACGGUACCCGAAGAAUAAGCACCGGCUAACUACGUGCCAGCCGCCGCCGUAA